AACGAACGCUGGCGGCAUGCCUAACACAUGCAAGUCGAACGGGCCCUUCGGGGUUAGUGGCGCACGGGUGCGUAACGCGUGGGAAUCUGCCCAAAGGUUCGGAAUAACUCGGGGAAACCCGAGCUAAUACCGGAUAAUGUCUUCGGACCAAAGAUUUAUCGCCUUUGGAUGAGCCCGCGUCGGAUUAGCUAGUUGGUAGGGUAAAAGCCUACCAAGGCAACGAUCCGUAGCUGGUCUGAGAGGAUGAUCAGCCACACUGGGACUGAGACACGGCCCAGACUCCUACGGGAGGCAGCAAUGGGGAAUAUUGGACAAUGGGCGAAAGCCUGAUCCAGCAAUGCCGCGUGAGUGAUGAAGGCCUUAGGGUUGUAAAGCUCUUUUACCCGGGAUGAUAAUGACAGUACCGGGAGAAUAAGCUCCGGCUAACUCCGUGCCAGCAGCCGCGGUAAUACGGAGGGAGCUAGCGUUGUUCGGAAUUACUGGGCGUAAAGCGCGCGUAGGCGGCUUUGUAAGUUAGG
Molecule: ribosomal RNA, 518 nt
Filed under: uncultured bacterium
Lineage: Bacteria
Description: bacterial SSU rRNA
Rfam family: Bacterial small subunit ribosomal RNA
Source: RNAcentral